GGGGAAUAUUGGGCAAUGGGCGCAAGCCUGACCCAGCAACGCCGCGUGAGGGAAGAAGGCCUUCGGGUUGUAAACCUCUGUCCUAUGGGAAGAAGAAAGUGACGGUACCAUAGGAGGAAGCUCCGGCUAACUACGUGCCAGCAGCCGCGGUAAUACGUAGGGAGCAAGCGUUGUCCGGAAUUACUGGGCGUAAAGGGUGCGUAGGCGGUUGUUUAAGUCAGAUGUGAAAUACCCGGGCUUAACUCGGGGGCUGCAUCUGAUACUGGAUAACUAGAGUGCAGGAGAGGAAAGUGGAAUUCCUAGUGUAGCGGUGGAAUGCGUAGAUAUUAGGAGGAACACCAGUGGCGAAGGCGACUUUCUGGACUGUAACUGACGCUGAGGCACGAAAGUAUAGGUAGCAAACAGGAUUAGAUACCCUGGUAGUCCAUACUGUAAACGAUGAAUACUAGGUGUGGGGGACAAUAGUCUUCCGUGCCGCAGCCAACGCAAUAAGUAUUCCGCCUGGGGAGUACGGUCGCAAGACUGAAACUCAAAGGAAUUGACGGGGGCCCGCACAAGCAGCGGAGCAUGUGGUUUAAUUCGAAGCAACGCGAAGAACCUUACCAAGGCUUGACAUCCCGGUGACCGGCAUAGAGAUAUGCCUUCUCUUCGGAGCACCGGUGACAGGUGGUGCAUGGUUGUCGUCAGCUCGUGUCGUGAGAUGUUGGGUUAAGUCCCGCAACGAGCGCAACCCUUGUUACUAGUUGCCAGCAUUUCGGAUGGGAACUCUAGUGAGACCGCCGGGGAUAACUCGGAGGAAGGUGGGGAUGACGUCAAAUCAUCAUGCCCUUUAUGUCUUGGGCUACACACGUGCUACAAUGGUCGGUACAAAGAGCGGCGAGCUCGUAAGAGUAAGCGAAUCUCAAAAAGCCGGUCUCAGUUCAGAUUGUGGGCUGCAACCCGCCCACAUGAAGUCGGAGUUGCUAGUAAUCGCGGAUCAGCAUGCCGCGGUGAAUGCGUUCCCG
RNAcentral lists this ribosomal RNA (1004 nucleotides) under uncultured bacterium. RNAcentral describes it as "bacterial SSU rRNA". It matches the Rfam family "Bacterial small subunit ribosomal RNA", at positions 356 to 1376 of the family's 1533-position model. The record is from RNAcentral.